RNAcentral lists this long non-coding RNA (436 nucleotides) under Oryza sativa Indica Group (long-grained rice). RNAcentral's name for it is "lncRNA OsMH63_01G007840". Lineage: Eukaryota; Viridiplantae; Streptophyta; Magnoliopsida; Poales; Poaceae. The record is from RNAcentral.
AUGGAUGACAGUGGCGGUGCCGAGCGGCGGAUCUCUCCGUCACAACUCCGGACCACCACGAGCCUCUCUCCGUCGCCUCCCUCUCCCUCUCUUGAAGACGGCUGGGUGUCGAAGCCGCGGAUGACGGCAGCACGGGAGGCUCCUCUCCCUCUCAAUCGUCUCACUCUUCUGCUCCGGAUCAACCUCGAGCUGCUCUCCCUCGACCACCUCUCGGGGAUUGGCCCGGUGAUAGGCCGCAAAUCGCCGUCGGUGGUAGACUGCGGUGGCAGGGAGUUCAGACUUCAGACGACGACUUCAGACGACUUGCGAGUGCGUGGCUGGCACGAGUCCCGGUCGACGCUUGACGUCAAGAAAUCUCGCUUGUGGAAUUGUGGUGCUCUCGACAUAGGCCCUCACCCUGUUGAUGCGCGUCGGCUUGUCCGCUAAGAAAAUUCAU